GGGAAAAAAAAAAAGUAAAUUGUUGCAGGACUAAGCAUAAAUAAACACAUCAUUGAAUAAUGAAAGCAGAAACAUUACCAUGCUCCAGUUGUUGGAUGCGAGCCACCAAGGACUCAUUUCCAGCUGAAUUAGCAUCCAUGUCUGAAAUUUGGAAUUGACGAAACAGAGAGAAGGCAUAGAGCAGAAACAAAUUAUGGUUAGCAGAGGGAGAGAGCCAUCUCUCUCCUCCUCUCUAACCUCCGCAACAACGACCAAUGCCUUGUAUGUACAGCUAAGUAACAGGACAAGUCUUUCGAGCUGGAAAUUGUUUGAACUGUCCAACCUAAUUGGAACGUUCAGGGGCUUCUUAUUUUGUUGCUUUUUUU
Molecule: unclassified non-coding RNA, 365 nt
Filed under: Hevea brasiliensis (rubber tree)
Lineage: Eukaryota; Viridiplantae; Streptophyta; Magnoliopsida; Malpighiales; Euphorbiaceae
Source: RNAcentral